ACAUGGAUCCACUCAGAAGGCACUGGAGACAAGGCACCGGAGCCCAGCCACUCGGAGCUGAUUUGGGACGGUGGGGCGAUCCCAGAAGACCCAGGUCCUACCGAGAAGCUCCCUGGCACUGUGUCUGGUGCUGCAGAAGGAGCAGAGCUGAGGAGGACGUGGUCCCUGCCCUCCAAGAGCUCCCACCUGCGGAAGAUGCUCUUCUCCUGGACUCCGUUUCCCCAUCUGAACACUGGGGACAAGAAUCUGCACUGCCCAGUGAUUCCACAUAUUGGAGCAUCUGUGUACAGCAGUGCUCUCUUCCUCUGGCAGCUUCAUCCCCCCUUUCCUGGGGGAGCUGCUCCCUCUCGCACUCAGACUGGGUGGAGCUUGCCCCCAGUUCCAGGAGGACCCUUGACCAGAGCCCGCUAGCCAGCACACUCCCACCCUGGCCACGGUGACUAACUCAGUCAGCCCAGCGAGAGACUCUUCUGGGACUCGAUCAAACUGCUGGGAAAGGGAAAUCCUUCCAUUGCAGGGUGCGGAGAAGUGGUGUCAUUCUGGAGCUGCCGGUGGUCGUUGUGGCACUAAAACAGAAGUGGGGUGGUGAGACUGAUCAAAUCCUGGUGAUGAGGUCACCUUGGCACGGAACCCACUGUACCUGAUGUCAGUAAUACCCCUUUUCAGUUACUUUAGCCAAUAAACUCCCUUCUUUGCUUGUGCUA
This is a long non-coding RNA of Camelus dromedarius (Arabian camel), 704 nucleotides long. RefSeq lists it as uncharacterized. Lineage: Eukaryota; Metazoa; Chordata; Mammalia; Artiodactyla; Camelidae. The record is from RefSeq and is a predicted model, not a curated record. The transcript has 2 exons.